Molecule: ribosomal RNA, 356 nt
Filed under: uncultured bacterium
Lineage: Bacteria
Description: bacterial SSU rRNA
Rfam family: Bacterial small subunit ribosomal RNA
Source: RNAcentral
AGAGUUUGAUCCUGGCUCAGGAUGAACGCUAGCUACAGGCUUAACACAUGCAAGUCGAGGGGAAACGACAUCGAAAGCCUGCUUUUGAUGGGCGUCGACCGGCGCACGGGUGAGUAACGCGUAUCCAACCUGCCCACCACUUGGGGAUAACCUUGCGAAAGUAAGACUAAUACCCAAUGAUAUCUCUAGAAGACAUCUGAAAGAGAUUAAAGAUUUAUCGGUGAUGGAUGGGGAUGCGUCUGAUUAGCUUGGUUGGCGGGGUAACGGCCACCAAGGCGACGAUCAGUAGGGGUUCUGGAGAGGAAGGUCCCCCACAUUGGAACUGGAGACACGGUCCAAACGUCCUACGGGAGGCA